UUAAUUGCUUCAUGUGACCAUCAACCCUCCACCUCCAAUUGGAACCCUAAUCUCACCUGCUGCCAUACGCCCACCUUCACCUCGUAUCCUUGAUAAUUACCAGUUUCAACAGUGCAUCAACAUCGAAUUGAAGCUCAUCUUAGUUUGGGCUUGAUUUGGAUCAAUGUUGGUUGGACUGUGGAUAUUUGAAGGCUUGCUGAAUGUUGAAUUGUUGAUGCUGUUACGGCUGUUGUUCUUGGACUGUAUGUUCUCCGUAUAA
This 259-nucleotide long non-coding RNA is filed under the name Helianthus annuus (common sunflower). RNAcentral describes it as "sRNA HanXRQr2_Chr02g0054681". The record is from RNAcentral. Lineage: Eukaryota; Viridiplantae; Streptophyta; Magnoliopsida; Asterales; Asteraceae.